CAUAAAGGCUUCGUACGUGACCUGCGGAAGGAUCAUUAACGAAUUGACGGCUCUCCGGAGCUAGAUUCUCACCCUUUGUAUAUCUAUCUUUGUUGCUUUGGCAGGCGCCUGGCGCCUGUCAGACGUAAAACCCUUGAAUUUUUGCCGUCUGAGUACUAUCGAAUAGUUUAAAACUUUCAACAACGGAUCUCUUGGUUCUGGCAUCGAUGAAGAACGCAGCGAAAUGCGAUAAUUAAUGUGAAUUGCAGACUCAGUGAACCAUCGAAUCUUUGAACGCACAUUGCGCCCCCUGGCAUUCCGGGGGGCAUGCCUGUUCGAGCGUCAUUACAACCCUCAAGCUCUGCUUGGUGUUGGGCUCGCCCUGCAGGGCCUGCCUCAAAGUCAGUGGCGGCACAGUCUGACCCUGAAGCGUAGUAAUACUCGUCGCUUUUUCGGUGAGGCUGGGCCAGCCAGCCAACCCCCACCAUCAAGGUUGACCUCGGAUCAGGUCGGGAUACCCGCUGAACUUAAGCAUAUCAAUAAGCGGAGGAA
Molecule: ribosomal RNA, 531 nt
Filed under: Lirula yunnanensis
Lineage: Eukaryota; Fungi; Ascomycota; Leotiomycetes; Rhytismatales; Rhytismataceae
Description: eukaryotic LSU rRNA
Rfam family: 5.8S ribosomal RNA (bases 172-324)
Source: RNAcentral